GGCCAGACUCCUACGGGAGGCAGCAGUGGGGAAUAUUGCACAAUGGGGGAAACCCUGAUGCAGCGACGCCGCGUGAGCGAUGAAGUAUUUCGGUAUGUAAAGCUCUCUCAGCAGGGAAGAAGAUGACGGUACCUGACUAAGAAGCCCCGGCUAACUACGUGCCAGCAGCCGCGGUAAUACGUAGGGGGCAAGCGUUAUCCGGAUUUACUGGGUGUAAAGGGAGCGUAGACGGCGAUGCAAGCCAGAUGUGAAAGCCCGGGGCUCAACCCCGGGACUGCAUUUGGAACUGUGUGGCUGGAGUGUCGGAGAGGCAGGCGGAAUUCCUAGUGUAGCGGUGAAAUGCGUAGAUAUUAGGAGGAACACCAGUGGCGAAGGCGGCCUGCUGGACGAUGACUGACGUUGAGGCUCGAAAGCGUGGGGAGCGAACAGGAUUAGAUACCCGUGUA
This 446-nucleotide ribosomal RNA is filed under the name uncultured bacterium. RNAcentral describes it as "bacterial SSU rRNA". It matches the Rfam family "Bacterial small subunit ribosomal RNA", at positions 329 to 792 of the family's 1533-position model. The record is from RNAcentral.